This is a long non-coding RNA of Melopsittacus undulatus (budgerigar), 2381 nucleotides long. RefSeq lists it as uncharacterized. The transcript has 2 exons. The record is from RefSeq and is a predicted model, not a curated record. NCBI's taxonomy places the organism in Eukaryota, Metazoa, Chordata, Aves, Psittaciformes, Psittaculidae.
GCAGGGGGUUUGGAAUUAGAUGAUCUUAAGGUCUUUUUCAACCCCAACUAUUCUAUGAUUCUAUGAUUUGGGGAUUUCACUGAAACAAAAUACAGUAUUAUGCUUAUUGACUUACAGUGCAUUUUUGUAAAAGGUUAUUUUAAUAACAUGUUUAGAACACCUGAAGAGGGAAAAAUAUUAUGCAGAUGGACUGAAAAGAUUGCCCUAAUUGCUUAGGGAGGAGAUGGAUACAUAACACACUGUCCCCAGAUUUGAGGGGUUUUCUUGGACUUUGCAACAUGACCUUUUUCUUGUACUGUAUCUGAUACCCAAAAUAUUCUUUUCUGCCUUUGUUUAGCCUGAUUAAAUUGUUUCAGUUGUAGCCCUCCAUCACAGUUACAGAUAGCUUUUGAAAGGGAUUUUGGGGCAGCAGGGAAGUCUGGACAGGUCGUGUGCACUUGCAUGUGUUUUGAGAAUACAGAUGGUUUGGAGCCAUGUGCUCAAGUCUGGUUUUCUGUUCUGACCACUUCUGUUUGUCCUGGAAGACUUACAGUGGCUAUACCUGUUCUUCAAAGAAUUUCUAAAGCCUGUAUUUAUAGUUUACAACUUAUGCAACUGUGUUGUUAUUCCCACAAGGGUGACUACCAUGGAGAAUUUUAAUGUGUAUUUAUGAAAACCCCAAUCAGAAUACAUUGCUUAUACUGCAUAAGCAAUGACUAUAUGAAUAAUUGAUGUAUAUUUUCAGGGAUUUGUAUUAGGUUUCUCAACAGAGGGACUAUUGAGAUUCAUGCAUGUGUCUGUGUAUAUACACACACCUAUACUUAUAUAUACAUAUGUAUAAAUACAGAUAAAACUAAUUUAUAUAACUUAAGUGUGUGUGGUUCUGUAUUUAUAUGUGGCAAUCUAUACUCAUGAGUGGGGCCUGUGCUGACAAGCCUAGUGAUGCCUAGUGUCCAUCACUAGGGCAUGAUGGACAGCACUGGGCAUGUUGUAGCCCAGGGUCCUGCAUCAUCUGCAGUCCUGUAGGUGAUCCCAGCAGUCCUGUCCUCUGCUCCCUGGCCUGCUCUUGGCUGCUGUGAGACAGCAGUGGUCUGUGGCUUUUUAUUACCACAUUAAUAUGUUGUAUUUGCCAAAAUGUAAAGAGCGAGAUGCCUGUGAAUAAACUAUGCACGCUCCUUGAUGGCCUUAAAACUGCUGGAUUUAUGCUGGAUGCCUCUAUCCCAAGAUCAAGUAUUGGCUUUUUAGCUUUUCUUAACUUGUAAAUUCAUGUCGUCUAGGAUCUGCAACAUGUUUUUAUUUCCCUUUUAGUCAUUCAACAACCAUUAUUGCCAAGUUAAUUUUAAAAGUAAUUUUGAGUAAUCCUAUUGAUGUGGUAUUAUGUUUUGCCAUCACAGGAAGCAAAAUCCUUGUCAUUAUGGACCAUGCAAAAUGUUUCAUGUUGGUUUGUAAAGACCAUAUGCUGGCUAAGAAUCUCUCAGCUGACUUGUUUCAAAUAUUUGAUUGACAGAGGAAUGUUCUCAGAGCCUGAAAAUCUACAUUACAGCUUCUAUUGAGGGAACAAUUGCAGUAGUUUGGGUAUAACAAGACAGCCCUCCAAAGGUCUCCGGAGGGAUCAGAGAUGCCUUCGUGCUGUUGUUGCUUUUGAUCUAAAAAAGAAAACCAUUAAUGGCCUUGUCACCUAUUUUGAACCAGUUUAAACAUGGGAAAAAGACUUGACCAAGUUUCAAACAGCGCUCUUCAUAGUCACCAGCCAUCUAACAAGGAGGAAGAAGUCUCUCCAUCAAGGCCUAAGAGGAUCAAGAUCCAGGAGGUUUCCUUCUGCAGUUACCUGGAUCUGUGACUCAGUUUCCCUGUUGAUAGAAUGGGAAUGAUGUUACUUUCUGAUUUGCUGACACUGCAGUACUGCCAGACUUCACUCAUUAAUAUUCUAAGAUGCUUGCUGAGGCUCUGGGAUGAAAAUACUUCAGUAAAGAAUGUAAAUAGUGCAAAAAAUAAUUUAGCUAUCAAAGUGGAUUAGUUUCCUUGUCUGGGUUACAGAAUUAUUGCCAUCAAGUACACAUCCCGUGCCUCUUUGCUGUGAGGAUAUUUUUUUCUAAUAAAGAAUCUAUUUUAAAGAAAGAAAAAUAAAUAACCUGAGGUUUGUGAUUCAAACCUUCACCAAGUCAGGUAGAUUUUCUUCUACCUGUAACAACAUAUUUCCUGUUUGAUUCAUUACAACCUUAGCUCCUGUACCUGUGAACUACAGUGGCUUUGUAAGUUCUGUUGGGAUUCUCCUUGUAUACUGAGAAUUAUUUUUUUUAAAUAUAUUAUUUUGAAUCUAAUAUAUUAACUGAACACUAUUAAAUCCUUCUGUUGAGAAUAAUUUUUGUAAUAAAAAUUAAUAAAUCCAGAUUUUAUAAACA